RNAcentral lists this unclassified non-coding RNA (157 nucleotides) under uncultured fungus. RNAcentral describes it as "sequence contains ITS1". Lineage: Eukaryota; Fungi. The record is from RNAcentral.
UUAGUAUAGUUAUGAUCCAUCACGCUUGUUAUAUCAAUGUUUGGAGUAGGAAUGGCCAGAGGCCAACAGGGUUCACAGAGGUAGGACGAUGUGAAGGCCUCCCCGAGAGGGGUGACCCAAAUCACUAAUGAUCCUUCCGCAGGUUCACCUACGGAAA